This is a long non-coding RNA of Canis lupus familiaris (dog), 3237 nucleotides long. RefSeq lists it as uncharacterized. The transcript is spliced from 2 exons. The record is from RefSeq and is a predicted model, not a curated record. NCBI's taxonomy places the organism in Eukaryota, Metazoa, Chordata, Mammalia, Carnivora, Canidae.
GUUCAAGGGAAGCCUCGGAAGAUUUUCCAGAGUCUAGGGAAGUAUAGAAUGGUGGGGGGCACUCCGGGAUAAAGGAAAGCGGCAACAGGAGAGGAGCCCUCAAGUUCAGGGCAAGAGCCAGAAAGCGGCUGGCAAAGCCAAGGCCGCAGAGCUCAGAAAGGAGGAGGGUCUUUGGGUAACGGUAUGUUGGGUAAAAGAGACGCUCCGCCUGCCGCCUGCAGAUGACCUUAAAACCUGGGUACAAAGAGGAAACCCCGUCCUCAAAGCAUUCAAGAGCUGGCGAGACGCCGAGGACCUCCUCCGGGACAGGGCGCAGGGACGCAGCAGCACCACGCAGCCGUGCAAAGGACCCGAGCCCCGGGCAGCCUCACUGACGGAUCUCACACGUGAAGUGGAACAAGAGAGCCACACGCAAGAUGACCCGCGGGCUGCCUGUGAACUCCAUCUCGGACUCCUGCUGGGUGUCCUCUGCCAAAAAUCGCCCAUGGAGCCAGAGAGGACAGUGACUUGCCCACGGUGAUACAGCAAGUGCCAACCCCGCGAGACCUGGGUGUCGUCUACAAAGUGUACUAAACACACACGCGCACGCACACACACACCCUAAGUCUUUGCAAAUCAGACCAGAUCCUUCUAUCCACCUCGGAAGUCACACUAUGAACACUGGGCCCAGGCGGGGCCCGCGAGGGCCACGGGGCCUGAUAACCCGAGCCCCCUCCUGCCCCGCACCCCCCUCCCCACCCCGCCUUGGUGAACGCCUGCACUGGCCAGGCCCUUUCCCUACUUUUUCUCUGGUUCAAACAAGGAGCCUGCAGGGGAGGCAUUUUCAUCCCGACUUCCCAGGGAGGAAGCUGAGGCCCACAGGGAACGGUUGCCAGAGCUGCGGUGACGUGGGGCUCACUGGACGUGGCUGAAGGACUGUCCUAUAGGCCCAGGGAGCCAACCUGCGGUGGGAGAACCGGGGCUACGGUCUUUAAGGGGGUCGGGUAAGGUGCCACUCUGCCCUCGAUCUUGCCCCUUCCCCUGGGCCUGGGGCUGUUUGUCCUGGGCCCCGUGUCUCCCGGGGGAGGGCAGGUCUACACAUCACCCAGGCCCGUGUGAUCCCCUUCAAGCCAUGACGCGCUCUUAGGGUCCAUCCGGGCUGCUUUUCUGAGUCAGAGAUAGAGAGAUUGCCAACCUCCCACUGCGCACCCCCAUUUCCCUGCCCCAGGUCUGACCAGGCUUGUUUCCUGGCAUCGCUGUACCCCUACACCAGCCUGAGAGGGGCCUGAACCCAGCCAAUAAUAGUGUUUCCACUCCCAUCCCAGGAUUUCCUUUGCUUGGAGGGGCAUCUCCUGGUGGCAUUCCCCCUCCGACUGCUGCUGACCAGCUGGUCUGAUCUCUGUAGCCUCCUCCUACAGGCAGGCCUCCUGGUUCUCUGCUUCUUUGGGCUUUCUCUGUGCUCAAAGCACAGGCACCCUGUCUGGUAGGUGAAAGGUGGCUAACAACGCUGUGCGGCUCCUCUCAGGGAGAGCUGGCGUCGAAGCGCCCUCCCCUUGGACCCGGGCCAGUCUCAGAGAAUUGCAAGGGCACCGCGCACUGUGCACGGUGAGGUUCCGGGACUUCUCGCGGCUGCCGCCUCCCUCCUGGAACACUUGCUGUCCCCUAGGGAAGAAACCCUGCCACCCCGAGACCCCGGGGCUGCGAGGAACCCCAACUAAUGGUGGGGGAGGAGCCACACCCCCAGCCCGGGCUGCUCUGGCCCCCUGCCCUCCGGGUCCGGGUCCGGGUGGGUAGAGACCAGCCCGCCCCACUACGCCCCUGAUGCAAAGAACAGAGAUAGAGAAAACGGAAAAAGUGGUCACUUCGAGUCACGAUGUCCGGGGCAGUUUGCUGGUUUGCUACGCGGCAGUAGAUUAACGGAACAUUGUCCCUGCGCUCUGCAGCCCUUCAUGGCUCCCACGUGCCCUUGUGAUGAACUUCCAGCUCUGAACUUCAAGGCCAUCUGUUCUGGCAAAGUUAGACCCCUUCAGAAAUUGGCCAUGACCGCUCCGACCAUGGGCCGGCCACCCUGGGCCUGGGCCCCUCUCUAUCUCUGAAGCCUUGUUACCUCUGUCAGGAAGCCAUCCCCGAUCCCCUUGCUCCCAGCCCGGAGCUCCCCUUCCCACCAGGGACCACGGAUACGCUCUCCCUCCAGCUCCCAGGAGACCCCGACAGCAUGCAAGGGCCUCCCCUCCCCUCUGUAGACUCUAGUGGCCGUCCCAGGGUGGGGAAGAGGGCCAGGCGGGCACCCCUUGGACUGGCGACACUGCUCCGGCCAGAUUUGCCAUCUCCUGAUGGACGGAGUUCCUGCAGGUCCCCUCAGGAUGCCUGAGAGCCCACUCUCGGCCAAUCUAAGGUUUCCAAUACCUUCAAUGGGACUUAGCCUCAUCUCUUUAAAAUGAAAUGGAUACGCGCAGCCUGUGCAAUUGGUACUGCCUUCCCCAGGUCCUGAGAUCGAGCUCUGAGCAAGGGCCCAGUUCUAGGGCGCUGCCUCAAGGGGGCAGGGCGUGACGGGUCCGGGGAGGGGGAUUGUGCUAAACAUCUGCUGAAAGGGGGGGCCUUUCCCAGGGCUCAGGGCCCAUGCUGGCCAAGGAUCCCCUCACUCAUAGAUACGCCCAGGGUCACACACUAAAUCCAUGACCUCUCUGCCCUCGGCCACUGCCGACCCAGUGGGGCUCCCCUUCUGUUCCAUGGAACAGUGUGACAGCAGAAAUCUGUGGCCGUGAGACUAGACUCUUCCUUUCCUCAUUCUUUUUUGAACCUCAUCACCACUGGCAGGAGGACCAGGGAGGCCAGAGAGCCCCAUCGGCUGGAGGGGACGUGAGUGGGGCUGGCCCACUUAGGCGAUGCACGGCCAAGGGCGAGGGGCUGGGCUCCAGGCUGCACUUGGCAGGCUUGGCAGAGGGCAGGGUGCCCUGGGCGCCUGAGGGUGCUGUGGCUGGAGGAUCACACACCCACCACACUCUUGAGGCAGCCCGGGGCUCUGCUUCAGGAUCCAGGGCAGUCCAGAGCUACAGAAGGUCCUAGAGCCAGGGCCCUGCUCGCCCCAGAUCCCUGCUCCCGGUUCCCCUUGAAUGUCAGCUGAGUCUCCAAAUCACAAGCGACUCUGUGCAAAUUGCUGUUUAAAACAGGUUCCCGGAGGGGGAGGCAGUCGCUUCUUUGUUUAGCCCAAGGUUAUGGCAAAGAAACAAAAGGAGUGCAUUUUCUCUUCCUACUGUU